UACAUAAGAGAAGACCUCACACCUACCCCUGCCCUGGGGAAGAACAGUAUGACAUCAAAGGGAAUUUUCUUUGUCGUAAAGGUGAAGGUAAACGUGAAGUUUUCCAGCUUCCCAGAAUAUCCCAGUUUUAGUCUUCAGGCCAGGACGCAAUCUGGAUGAUUUGGAUGGUGUAGGCAGAAUUGGUUGGUGAGCAAGAUUUGUCAGGCAUUCAAGAAACAUCUCUGAGUUCUUCUUCCCCUUUUAUGAAUCCAAGAACUGUAAAACUAGUUAAAUGUUAAACCAUACCUCUCAUCUUUCGUACACGCUCCUCUCUGGGAAUGCUUCAGAGCCCACAUUCCUCCAGAACAUAACCCAAGGUCCUUAAGGUGAUCCUCAGCUACCUACGCGUCCUGCGCACUGAGGAGUCAAAGCGGUUGAGGAGAGCUCCCCUGCCCCUGCCGGGUCUCACUGCUCUUAAACUAACUAGGAUGUGCCCCAGUCGCGCAUUUCCUGGCGGCUGGUCGCUUUGGAACUUGAAUGCGUUUCUCCCCCAAGCAGCGGUAAGGUGGAGAGGGGGUGGUUCAAUGCACCAGCAGCCCAGCCCCCACCUCGUGCCCCGCAGGCGCUCUGCUGGGUGGGCUGCAGGGAGGCGCUGGCACCUGGGCAGUUCCCAUGACAGCAUCUGAGAAGGCGCUGGCAGCAGGGAGUAGGGGCGGAGUUCAGGGGCCUAAAGAACGGCGCUUUGUGAGUGGCUGGUUCCCAUGGCAACCGCUGGGUGCCUCCUAGGCAGCCAGAACCCAGUAGCUCUGCCUAUAGCGACAACUAGGAGCAAAACACCUUUGGAGAACCGGCGUUUCCACCACCAGCAUUCCUAAAUAGCUCUGCUUCGAUUUCCUGGAACAAACGCUUUUUCAGCAUCUACAUGCCAAAUAUUGUGGUGGAUACUGGGCUUUAGGAAAAAGACACGGCCACUGGCCCUCUCCUGGCAGGGCUCCAAGCUGAGAGGGAGUGCAUAGCCUGGUCUUCCUUGCAGCUAGGAGUAGCCUGUGGAUAUCCAAUAGAUAUUAAGAGGAAGUCACACCGGCCCCUUCCAAGCCUGGGCCCAUCCUCUCUGGCUGGCUGGGAUAGUCUCUGAGCAAUCUUGGAAGUGACUUGGUGAGAUCAAAAAGGCUGUGCAUGACCAUCCUGGAGAGGAUUGCUCCACCUACCUCUUGCCCAGCCCAGAAUUAUGACCUGAAUAGGAAAUAAACUUCUAAUGUGAUUAUG
Molecule: long non-coding RNA, 1245 nt
Organism: Chinchilla lanigera (long-tailed chinchilla)
Lineage: Eukaryota; Metazoa; Chordata; Mammalia; Rodentia; Chinchillidae
Exons: 2
Source: RefSeq, a predicted model, not a curated record